This 70-nucleotide ribosomal RNA is filed under the name Pseudo-nitzschia fraudulenta. RNAcentral describes it as "partial 18S ribosomal RNA". It matches the Rfam family "Eukaryotic small subunit ribosomal RNA", at positions 1760 to 1828 of the family's 1831-position model. Lineage: Eukaryota; Bacillariophyta; Bacillariophyceae; Bacillariales; Bacillariaceae. The record is from RNAcentral.
UAAACCUUAUCAUUUAGAGGAAGAGUGAAGUCGUAACAAGGUUUCCGUAGGUGAACCUGCGGAAGGAUCA